GAUGAACGCUGGCGGCGUGCUUAACACAUGCAAGUCGAACGGAAAGGCUCCUGCUUGCAGGGGUACUCGAGUGGCGAACGGGUGAGUAACACGUGGGUGAUCUGCCCUGCACUUCGGGAUAAGCCUGGGAAACUGGGUCUAAUACCGGAUAGGACGAUGGUUUGGAUGCCAUUGUGGAAAGUUUUUCGGUGUGGGAUGAGCUCGCGGCCUAUCAGCUUGUUGGUGGGGUAAUGGCCUACCAAGGCGUCGACGGGUAGCCGGCCUGAGAGGGUGUACGGCCACAUUGGGACUGAGAUGCGGCCCAGACGCCUACGGGAGGCAGCAGUGGGGAAUAUUGCACAAUGGGCGCAAGCCUGAUGCAGCGACGCCGCGUGGGGGAUGACGGCCUUCGGGUUGUAAACUCCUUUCGCUAGGGACGAAGCGCAAGUGACGGUACCUGGAGAAGAAGCACCGGCUAACUACGU
This 464-nucleotide ribosomal RNA is filed under the name uncultured bacterium. RNAcentral describes it as "partial 16S ribosomal RNA". It matches the Rfam family "Bacterial small subunit ribosomal RNA", at positions 28 to 506 of the family's 1533-position model. The record is from RNAcentral.